Long non-coding RNA from Oreochromis niloticus (Nile tilapia), 536 nucleotides. RefSeq lists it as uncharacterized. The transcript is spliced from 2 exons. The record is from RefSeq and is a predicted model, not a curated record. Lineage: Eukaryota; Metazoa; Chordata; Actinopteri; Cichliformes; Cichlidae.
UUCAUCUGUUUCUUGUGCAGGCAUUUAUUCAUCUCAUGUCACGUCUCUUCAUCUUCCCACCUCUUGUCACUGCUCGUCUCCUCCGUCUCUUCACAGCAGAAGCGUCAAAAACAAGACUGCUGCUCGUUAGGAAAAUAAUAGGGUUUCAGGCCAUGGUACUCUUAAUGGAUGGACUUAUGUGCAACUUACAUCCUCAGACACUGAUACAAGUUGUUGUUACGGCUCAGUUUAGACUCGUCCAAACAAAACAAACCAGCACAAACUGUUCUAAAUGAACAGAAGGUCAGUGAAUAAAAUCCGACUGUUACUGUCUUACCAGUCUAUUGUUUUCUUUUCUCCUCCUGUAGUGUGUGUGUGUGUUUUCUUUAUUAUUUUUAUACCAUCAUCUUUGAUCUGUUCCUACUGAAACUGUUCACCUUCAGAAGGGCUCCAUAAAUCUCUUUUGAUCUCGCCUUGGAAGAAAAUCCACGUCCAGAAUAUGAAUCAGCACCCAGCCAAUCCAGACUGUAGUCAAGCAAAGCACCAUCUAAAAUGUC